Molecule: ribosomal RNA, 492 nt
Filed under: uncultured bacterium
Lineage: Bacteria
Description: partial 16S ribosomal RNA
Rfam family: Bacterial small subunit ribosomal RNA
Source: RNAcentral
GAUGAACGCUAGCUACAGGCUUAACACAUGCCAGUCGAGGGGAAACGGCAUCGAAAGCUUGCUUUUGAUGGGCGUCGACCGGCGCACGGGUGAGUAACGCGUAUCCAACCUGCCCAUCACUUGGGAAUAACCUUGCGAAAGUAAGACUAAUGCCCAAUGACAUCCCACGAAGGCAUCCGAAUGGGAUUAAAGAUUUAUCGGUGAUGGAUGGGGAUGCGUCUGAUUAGCUUGUUGGCGGGGUGACGGCCCACCAAGGCAACGAUCAGUAGGGGUUCUGAGAGGAAGGUCCCCCACAUUGGAACUGAGACACGGUCCAAACUCCUACGGGAGGCAGCAGUGAGGAAUAUUGGUCAAUGGGCGAGAGCCUGAACCAGCCAAGUAGCGUGCAGGAUGACGGCCCUAUGGGUUGUAAACUGCUUUUAUAAGGGAAUAAAGUGGGUCACGUGUGACUUUUUGCAUGUACCUUAUGAAUAAGGACCGGCUAAUUCCGUG